Molecule: ribosomal RNA, 1288 nt
Filed under: metagenome
Description: bacterial SSU rRNA
Rfam family: Bacterial small subunit ribosomal RNA
Source: RNAcentral
UAGCUAGUUGGUGAGGUAACGGCUUACCAAGGCGACGAUCUGUAGCGGGUCUGAGAGGAUGAUCCGCCACACUGGAACUGAGACACGGUCCAGACUCCUACGGGAGGCAGCAGUGGGGAAUUUUGGACAAUGGGGGCAACCCUGAUCCAGCCAUGCCGCGUGAGUGAAGAAGGCCUUCGGGUUGUAAAGCUCUUUCGGCCGGGAAGAAAUCGCAUGGGCCAAUACCCUGUGUGGAUGACGGUACCGGAAUAAGAAGCACCGGCUAACUACGUGCCAGCAGCCGCGGUAAUACGUAGGGUGCGAGCGUUAAUCGGAAUUACUGGGCGUAAAGCGUGCGCAGGCGGUUUUGUAAGACAGGCGUGAAAUCCCCGGGCUCAACCUGGGAACUGCGUUUGUGACUGCAAGGCUAGAGUACGGCAGAGGGGGGUGGAAUUCCACGUGUAGCAGUGAAAUGCGUAGAGAUGUGGAGGAACACCAAUGGCGAAGGCAGCCCCCUGGGUCGAUACUGACGCUCAUGCACGAAAGCGUGGGUAGCAAACAGGAUUAGAUACCCUGGUAGUCCACGCCCUAAACUAUGUCAACUAGGUGUUGGGUGGGUAAAACCAUUUAGUACCGUAGCUAACGCGUGAAGUUGACCGCCUGGGGAGUACGGCCGCAAGGUUAAAACUCAAAGGAAUUGACGGGGACCCGCACAAGCGGUGGAUGAUGUGGAUUAAUUCGAUGCAACGCGAAAAACCUUACCUACCCUUGACAUGCCAGGAACUUGCCAGAGAUGGCUUGGUGCCCGAAAGGGAGCCUGGGCACAGGUGCUGCAUGGCUGUCGUCAGCUCGUGUCGUGAGAUGUUGGGUUAAGUCCCGCAACGAGCGCAACCCUUGUCGUUAAUUGCCAUCAUUUAGUUGGGCACUUUAGCGAGACUGCCGGUGACAAACCGGAGGAAGGUGGGGAUGACGUCAAGUCCUCAUGGCCCUUAUGGGUAGGGCUUCACACGUCAUACAAUGGUCGGUACAAAGGGUCGCCAAGCCGCGAGGUGGAGCCAAUCCCAGAAAGCCGAUCGUAGUCCGGAUUGCAGGCUGCAACUCGCCUGCAUGAAGUCGGAAUCGCUAGUAAUCGUGGAUCAGCAUGUCACGGUGAAUACGUUCCCGGGUCUUGUACACACCGCCCGUCACACCAUGGGAGCGGGUUCCGCCAGAAGUAGGUAGCCUAACCGUAAGGAGGGCGCUUACCACGGCGGGGUUCGUGACUGGGGUGAAGUCGUAACAAGGUAGCCGUAGGGGGAACCUGCGGCUG